AGAUUGAACGCUGGCGGCAUGCCUUACACAUGCAAGUCGAACGGCAGCACGGGAGCAAUCCUGGUGGCGAGUGGCGAACGGGUGAGUAAUACAUCGGAACGUGCCCAAUCGUGGGGGAUAACGCAGCGAAAGCUGUGCUAAUACCGCAUAAGAUCUACGGAUGAAAGCAGGGGAUCGCAAGACCUUGCGCGAAUGGAGCGGCCGAUGGCAGAUUAGGUAGUUGGUGAGGUAAAGGCUCACCAAGCCUUCGAUCUGUAGCUGGUCUGAGAGGACGACAGCCACACUGGGACUGAGACACGGCCAGACUCUACGGGAGCAGCAGUGGGGAAUUUGGACAAGUGGGACGAAAGCCGUGAUCCAGUCCAUGCCGCGUGCAGGAUAGAAGGCCGUUCGGUUAGUAACGUGU
RNAcentral lists this ribosomal RNA (406 nucleotides) under uncultured soil bacterium. RNAcentral describes it as "bacterial SSU rRNA". It matches the Rfam family "Bacterial small subunit ribosomal RNA", at positions 26 to 433 of the family's 1533-position model. The record is from RNAcentral.